This is a transfer RNA of Puccinia graminis f. sp. tritici, 121 nucleotides long. It matches the Rfam family "tRNA". From Rfam's summary of the family: Transfer RNA (tRNA) molecules are approximately 80 nucleotides in length. Lineage: Eukaryota; Fungi; Basidiomycota; Pucciniomycetes; Pucciniales; Pucciniaceae. The record is from Rfam.
GCCUUCGUGGCUCAGCUGGUUAGAGCGCCGGUCUCAUAUUCUGAAUCAUCACGAGUAUCAAUAUGACCAUCCACUCGGAUGGGCCAUCCGGAGAUCGCCAGUUCGAUCCUGGCCGAGGGCA